Regulatory RNA element from Skermanella stibiiresistens SB22, 61 nucleotides. It matches the Rfam family "terC RNA". The record is from Rfam. NCBI's taxonomy places the organism in Bacteria, Pseudomonadati, Pseudomonadota, Alphaproteobacteria, Rhodospirillales, Azospirillaceae.
AUCGGGGUCCGGGCCCCUCUGGCGGACGCUUGAAGAAGCGCCGCGAUGUCGGACCCCUCCA